RNAcentral lists this non-coding RNA (227 nucleotides) under Metabacillus harenarius. RNAcentral's name for it is "Bacillus weihaiensis T-box sequence". It matches the Rfam family "T-box leader". From Rfam's summary of the family: Uncharged tRNA acts as the effector for transcription antitermination of genes in the T-box leader family. T-boxes are found upstream of many aminoacyl-tRNA synthetase genes and some amino acid biosynthetic genes usually in Gram-positive bacteria. The record is from RNAcentral. Lineage: Bacteria; Bacillati; Bacillota; Bacilli; Caryophanales; Bacillaceae.
AAUUGAACGGUGGAUAAAGGAAUAGUACGCGGAACUUUUUAUUUCAGAGAGUAAGGUUUAGUAGCUGAGAGACCUUAUAAUAACAAGCCGCUGAACCUACCUUUUGAGUCCUAUGAAAACAUAGGCGCUUUCCUGGCGUUAAUAGGAUUAAGUGGGAUGACUUUAUUGUUUGUGAGGUCAUUCAAACAAGGUGGUACCACGGAAGCUAAGCUCCUUUCGUCCUUAUU